RNAcentral lists this unclassified non-coding RNA (304 nucleotides) under Trachemys scripta (pond slider). RNAcentral describes it as "partial miscellaneous RNA". Lineage: Eukaryota; Metazoa; Chordata; Testudines; Emydidae. The record is from RNAcentral.
CUCGUGCCGGCACGAGCUCUAUCUUAUAUCUUAUGAAUGCAACUCAAACACUUUAAUUAAGCUAAGGCCUUACUAGACAAAUGGGCCUCGAUCCCAUAACAAUUUAGUUAACAGCUAAACACCCAAUCCAGCGGGCUUUUGGCUACCUUUCCCGCUCUCUAAAAAGCGGGAAACCCCGACACCAACUAAAGUGUAUCUUCAAAUUUGGAAUUUGACAUGAAUUUCACUACGGCGUUUGAUAAGAAGAGGAAUUAAACCUCUGUCAAAAGGUCUACAGCCCAACGCUUAACCACUCAGCCAUCUU